UGCACCCACUUGUGCUUAUUUCUGAAUAUGCUUCUGGGUCUGCUUUGUUUUUCUUUCUUGUAUUAUCACUCUUUUUUAAUAGUAUGAAAUGAAAUAUAUUAUACGUUAGGAAAUGUUACAGAAAUAAGUAUUUGAAUGUUGUUGAUAUUUAAGUGCUUCACUAGUAAUGGUGUUAGCUUCAGCGUGAUUUGGUGUUGUGCUUAAUUGUGUCUUUGUUCAUGCUGAUAGUGAAUCUGACUUGGAAAAUAUUGUAGCAGCUGCAAGAAUUUCUGGCAAAAGGUUAAUGUUUUACUUCAGAUCAUGAUCAACCCAGACGUGGAUCCUCAGCCCCAUCCUUAUGUUGCCACUGGAACAAGAACUCCAAAUUUGGUAUUAGAAAUGAGAAGCUGCAAUGGUUCUUGGAUGCUGUAAAGGCACAUUCCUAACGAGCUGAAGCUUGUGGGAGCUCAUUGCCAUCUUGGGUCCACCAUCACCAAUGUAUUUUAACAAUCAUAUCCUUUCAUUUCUUUCAUGUAAUUACAGUUUAUAGCCAUGGUAUGAUAGUUAUUACAUUCUUUCAGUGUAUGAUGGCUAUUACUUAUCACUGUUCACAUGACUAACUCAAGAUUUGAUUU
Molecule: long non-coding RNA, 614 nt
Organism: Quercus robur (English oak)
Lineage: Eukaryota; Viridiplantae; Streptophyta; Magnoliopsida; Fagales; Fagaceae
Exons: 2
Source: RefSeq, a predicted model, not a curated record